AUCUCUUGGUUCUGGCAUCGAUGAAGAACGCAGCGAAAUGCGAUAAGUAAUGUGAAUUGCAGAAUUCAGUGAAUCAUCGAAUCUUUGAACGCACAUUGCGCCCCAUGGUAAUCCGUGGAGCAUGCCUGUUCGAGCGUCAUU
This 141-nucleotide ribosomal RNA is filed under the name Fellhanera sp. SHJ-2015. Its description in RNAcentral is "5.8S ribosomal RNA". It matches the Rfam family "5.8S ribosomal RNA". From Rfam's summary of the family: 5.8S ribosomal RNA (5.8S rRNA) is a component of the large subunit of the eukaryotic ribosome. It is transcribed by RNA polymerase I as part of the 45S precursor that also contains 18S and 28S rRNA. Functionally, it is thought that 5.8S rRNA may be involved in ribosome translocation. Lineage: Eukaryota; Fungi; Ascomycota; Lecanoromycetes; Lecanorales; Pilocarpaceae. The record is from RNAcentral.